AAUAGAUACCCAGGUAGUCCACGCCGUAAACGAUGAGUGCUAGGUGUUGGGGGGGUUCCACCCUCAGUGCUGAAGUUAACACAUUAAGCACUCCGCCUGGGGAGUACGACCGCAAGGUUGAAACUCAAAGGAAUUGACGGGGGGCCCGCACGAAGCAGUGGAGCAUGUGGUUUAAUUCGAAGCAACGCGAAGAACCUUACCAGGUCUUGACAUCCUUUGACCACUCUAGAGAUAGAGCUUUCCCCUUCGGGGGGACAAAGUGACAGGUGGUGCAUGGUUGUCGUCAGCUCGUGUCGUGAGAUGUUGGGUUAAGUCCCGCAACGAGCGCAACCCUUGACCUUAGUUGCCAGCAUUCAGUUGGGCACUCUAAGGUGACUGCCGGUGACAAACCGGAGGAAGGUGGGGACGACGUCGAAAUCAUCAUGCCCCUUAUGACCUGGGCUACACACGUGCUACAAUGGAUGAUACAAAGGGUUGCGAAGCCGCGAGGCCAAGCCAAUCCCGAAAAAGUCAUUCUCAGUUCGGAUUGUAGG
This 533-nucleotide ribosomal RNA is filed under the name uncultured bacterium. RNAcentral describes it as "bacterial SSU rRNA". It matches the Rfam family "Bacterial small subunit ribosomal RNA", at positions 777 to 1304 of the family's 1533-position model. The record is from RNAcentral.